Molecule: RNase P RNA, 233 nt
Filed under: Klebsiella pneumoniae
Lineage: Bacteria; Pseudomonadati; Pseudomonadota; Gammaproteobacteria; Enterobacterales; Enterobacteriaceae
Description: partial RNase P RNA component class A
Rfam family: Bacterial RNase P class A
About the family: Ribonuclease P (RNase P) is a ubiquitous endoribonuclease, found in archaea, bacteria and eukarya as well as chloroplasts and mitochondria.
Source: RNAcentral
GAAGUGAGCCGGAUGGUCGCUGCUGUGGAGGUCUCCGUGACUGAAGCAGGAGAGGAAAGUCCGGGCUUCAUAGGGCAGGGUGCCAGGUAACGCCUGGGCGGUGAAAGCCGACGGAAAGUGCAGCAGAGAGUAGACCGCCUCAUUCGUGAGGUAAGGGUGAAAGGGUGCGGUAAGAGCGCACCGCGUGUCUGGUAACAGUUCACGGCAUGGCAAACCCCACCAGAAGCAAGACC